Molecule: long non-coding RNA, 3086 nt
Organism: Zonotrichia leucophrys gambelii
Lineage: Eukaryota; Metazoa; Chordata; Aves; Passeriformes; Passerellidae
Exons: 5
Source: RefSeq, a predicted model, not a curated record
AAAUUGUCUAUUUGCCUCCUGGAUCUUGUUGGGACACCUGUGUCUCAUUGUAUUUUAGGGCAGCACCACCCCUCCUUUCCUUCAUUCUCCUCCAGGUUCCUGAGGGCUUUGUGCUGCUCUGCUCCCUGAGCAGGGGUGAAAUUGCACCAUUCCUUGUGCUCUGGGAAUAGAAGGUGGAUUCAAGCAGAAGGUCUGGGUGAGUAAACUGAAGCCUGUGCUCCUCUCAGUCAAGGAAGAAGAAGAAGGUGUAGCUGAAGCUGUGCUGUCUUGCAAAAAGCUCUGGCUGUGGAGAAGGAUUCCCUUGUUGUGCUGCUCCAAACCUGAACCAAACCCCAGGAUGAUGCUCAAGCAGCAAACAGAGAGGACAGAGGGGGACAUUUCAGGGGACAGCAAGGACCAGAGAACAGAGAUCUUAUAAGCCCAGUUCAGAUCUUCCAACCUUGUGGACUGAAGCAUCUGAACCCUUUGACAGGGAUGCUCAAGAAAAAUCUUGGACCUUUGAAAAAUGUGUCUGCAAUGCUGAGAUCCUUUGGAAAUGUUCUAGCAAAUGUGACUCAGUAACCCAGAGUACAAGAGUGAAAAGAAAACACAGCCUCCUCCGAGCUACUAAGGCAACAGGCUUUAAAAUCAACAAAUGCAGCCCACGAGGAUGACAGCCGAGGUGACUACUGUGUGAUCCCAUUCUCCUGCUGCAGGAAGCCAUGAGAACUGCUAAUGAGUUUACUUAAACUUGAAGUCCAGUGCUUGCCUGCAUAAUCCCAAUUCAGGAAGCUAAGGUAAAUACAAUUUGGGGAAGCUUGCUUGCCUCUAGCACACUUAGCACGAUGAGCAAAUGGGAGGAAUCUGUAACUGUAACACACUGAGUGUAUUCCUGCAGGGGUCAGGACAAUGGGAAAGCACUAACUGACUCAGGAAAGGAAAGCAGCUGCUAGUAUUUAUGCUUGUGAUGGAUGUUCACAGUAAAAUGGUCAGACAGAACAGAGAAUAUCUCUCCAAGGUCUUGACUUGACACCCACAGCUGUGCAAAUAGCACAGAUGGGAAGAUGAUUCAGAGUGGCCUGAUUUCAAAAAUGCCCAAAACCAGGCCCUCAAAACAAGAUGGGUUUUUGUGAACGCCCCUGUGGACCCUGAGGGCUGCUAAAGAGAUGCUGCUUUGCAGCAGCUUCACAGAUUAACAGCUUGAACAGUUGGUUGGGGAUGGGCUGAUGAAAGAUGAUCUCUGCAUGAUGUAUCCAAAUGUACAAGGAAUUAAUUGGAGACUACGAACAGAGAGCUGUGAAAGUGUCAGCUUGUGUCCUUCUGUGGGUCCUCUUAGACCUGCAGAAUUCCUAUGGCUUGUCCCAGUAAUGAGCAUUGGAGUGGCACGUGUGACCAGGUCAGUCUCAGAGUGGCUACAGCUGGCAGCAAGUGCUGCCCACUCACUGGAGUGCUGCACAAACACACGGCCUGAGGGAGCCCUGGAGCUGCUGCCAUCCCAAACCACCCAACCAGGCCUCAUUUCUCCUGCCACAGGCUCUGUCCUCACCCUAUCCUCAAGCUCAACAGGCCUAGUGGUGUCACAGAAUCACAAAAUAAAUUGGGUUGGAAGGGGACCUUGAGGAUCAUCUUGUUCCACCCCUUUCACUUUCCAUUAUCCCAGGUUGCUCCAAGCCCCAUCCAGCCUGGCCCUGGACACUUCCAGGGAUGGGGCAGCCACAAGGAGCCCUGAAGCAUUUUUAAAAGCACUCCUUUCCUACAGGAAGGGGGAAAACUUUGCAUGGUACAACAACAAGCUCUCAGAAACAUUUCCAUGGCUAAGAAACACCUAUGGCUGUAUUUAGGCUGUGUCUGUAUCAGAAAAUGGGUUGAGCCCAUAGGAUCAGAUCCCAGCUUCCUGCAGAGGCUCCAAAAUCCCAGUCCAUGCCCUUCUGAGGCUCCCUGGAGCCUGGCCUGAGGGCUGAGUGCUCAUUAGUGCUUGUGGCACAUUAGUGGCACCCCUGGGGUGCAUUUCAGGUUGAGUUUGAGCUGGGCUGGAUGUGGCUGCACGUUCCAGGAGCUCUCAGGGAGGGGAAUCAAAGCACAGUGAGUGGAGCUCAUUAGGAGCUGCAGUGCCCCAGCCAAAAUGCCAGGGAGGAGCCUCCUGCCAGGGCACAGCCAGGCUCUGCCAAGUGCACCUGCACUCCCACACCUUUAAUGUUCUUCAUGUGCCAGCUGCACAUCCCUGACAUAUGUAAAUAUAUAUAAUAUAAAGUGAUUUUUCUAUGGCAAACAUCAUGAACUGCUCCCCCUUGUCCCUCUCUCCUUCACAGGACAACAAAAAGGAUUCUACAGAUGCAAAAUUUAGCCUUAUUUGACUUGUUCACAAUUAAUUUCUUGAGUCAAAAGCAUAGCUUGGGUAUGAUAAGUUACUUUGAAAAGUACCAAAAAAAGACCAAACAAAAACACCCCUUAACCUCUACCAGUGUAAGGAUACCUAAGAUGAUUUUGCAAGGGGAAGAAUAACCACAGCACAGAAAACAAAUUCAUUUUUUUCCUCCUUCCACAGAGGAGGAAAAAAGCACCCAAUGUCCACCAAGUCUGGACAGAACUCUGGAAAAAUGUCAUUCUCCCACAGAAGCAAGCACUGAUCUCUCAUAUUGCAAUCUACCUGCCUCCUGAAUCUGACAUUGCAGCAGCACAAAGGGUUACAAACAGGCUGCAGAAACAGCAAAAGCUAAUCUAGCUCAGGAGCAAAAAUGUUUGCUUACUUUAUUGCUUGUGUUGCCAACAUGACAGGAAUUAAGGAAAAUGAGUUCCUUUCCCUUCUCAAGUUUACAGGUUAUUUGGUACCUUUUUUGGUCCCUUUUUGCAUUCAAGUGUCAUUAACAUUCUAGGAGAAGCCAGUACUUUCUUGCAGACUAGGUUUGACAAAAUUGAAUUAAUUGGGUGAUUUUCUUUUGAAUUCAAUAGGAGCAGACUCAAAUCACAGAGAGCCUAACAACAAAGUAAAAUAAAACUCAGGCCUGAGUGCAGGCACAGAGUGCAGCUAUUCAUGGGUUUUAUCAGGGAAAAAUAUCUGGGAACCUGAGUUAAUUCAGUAAUUUGUUUUAAAUUAUUUCUUACUCUGU